CGGCGCACGGGUGCGUAACGCGUAUGCAAUCUACCUUUCACAGAGGGAUAGCCCAGAGAAAUUUGGAUUAAUACCUCAUAGUAUAGCAGUUUCGCAUGAAACCACUAUUAAAGUCACAACGGUGAAAGAUGAGCAUGCGUCCCAUUAGCUAGUUGGUAAGGUAACGGCUUACCAAGGCAACGAUGGGUAGGGGUCCUGAGAGGGAGAUCCCCCACACUGGUACUGAGACACGGACCAGACUCCUACGGGAGGCAGCAGUGAGGAAUAUUGGACAAUGGGCGCAAGCCUGAUCCAGCCAUGCCGCGUGCAGGAUGACGGUCCUAUGGAUUGUAAACUGCUUUUAUACGAGAAGAAACCCUCCGACGUGUCGGAGCUUGACGGUAUCGUAAGAAUAAGGAUCGGCUAACUCCGUGCCAGCAGCCGCGGUAAUACGGAGGAUCCAAGCGUUAUCCGGAAUCAUUGGGUUUAAAGGGUCCGUAGGCGGUCAGGUAAGUCAGUGGUGAAAGCCCAUCGCUCAACGGUGGAACGGCCAUUGAUAC
RNAcentral lists this ribosomal RNA (539 nucleotides) under uncultured Flavobacterium sp. Its description in RNAcentral is "bacterial SSU rRNA". It matches the Rfam family "Bacterial small subunit ribosomal RNA", at positions 96 to 633 of the family's 1533-position model. The record is from RNAcentral. Lineage: Bacteria; Pseudomonadati; Bacteroidota; Flavobacteriia; Flavobacteriales; Flavobacteriaceae.